GACGAACGCUGGCGGCGUGCUUAACACAUGCAAGUCGAACGGAAAGGCCCUGCUUUUGUGGGGUGCUCGAGUGGCGAACGGGUGAGUAACACGUGAGUAACCUGCCCUUGACUUUGGGAUAACUUCAGGAAACUGGGGCUAAUACCGGAUAGGAGCUCCUGCUGCAUGGUGGGGGUUGGAAAGUUUCGGCGGUUGGGGAUGGACUCGCGGCUUAUCAGCUUGUUGGUGGGGUAGUGGCUUACCAAGGCUUUGACGGGUAGCCGGCCUGAGAGGGUGACCGGCCACAUUGGGACUGAGAUACGGCCCAGACUCCUACGGGAGGCAGCAGUGGGGAAUAUUGCACAAUGGGCGGAAGCCUGGUGCAGCAACGCCGCGUGCGGGAUGACGGCCUUCGGGUUGUAAACCGCUUUCGCCUGUGACGAAGCGUGAGUGACGGUAAUGGGCAAAGAAGCACCGGCUAACUACGUG
This 468-nucleotide ribosomal RNA is filed under the name uncultured bacterium. RNAcentral's name for it is "partial 16S ribosomal RNA". It matches the Rfam family "Bacterial small subunit ribosomal RNA", at positions 28 to 507 of the family's 1533-position model. The record is from RNAcentral.